UGACGUUAGCGGCGGACGGGUGAGUAACACGUGGAUAACCUACCUAUAAGACUGGGAUAACUUCGGGAAACCGGAGCUAAUACCGGAUAACAUGUUGAACCGCAUGGUUCAACAGUGAAAGACGGUCUUGCUGUCACUUAUAGAUGGAUCCGCGCCGCAUUAGCUAGUUGGUAAGGUAACGGCUUACCAAGGCAACGAUGCGUAGCCGACCUGAGAGGGUGAUCGGCCACACUGGAACUGAGACACGGUCCAGACUCCUACGGGAGGCAGCAGUAGGGAAUCUUCCGCAAUGGGCGAAAGCCUGACGGAGCAACGCCGCGUGAGUGAAGAAGGUCUUCGGAUCGUAAAACUCUGUUAUUAGGGAAGAACAAAUGUGUAAGUAACUAUGCACGUCUUGACGGUACCUAAUCAGAAAGCCACGGCUAACUACGUGCCAGCAGCCGCGGUAAUACGUAGGUGGCAAGCGUUAUCCGGAAUUAUUGGGCGUAAAGCGCGCGUAGGCGGUUUUUUAAGUCUGAUGUGAAAGCCCACGGCUCAACCGUGGAGGGUCAUUGGAAACUGGAAAACUUGAGUGCAGAAGAGGAAAGUGGAAUUCCAUGUGUAGCGGUGAAAUGCGCAGAGAUAUGGAGGAACACCAGUGGCGAAGGCGACUUUCUGGUCUGUAACUGACGCUGAUGUGCGAAAGCGUGGGGAUCAAACAGGAUUAGAUACCCUGGUAGUCCACGCCGUAAACGAUGAGUGCUAAGUGUUAGGGGGUUUCCGCCCCUUAGUGCUGCAGCUAACGCAUUAAGCACUCCGCCUGGGGAGUACGACCGCAAGGUUGAAACUCAAAGGAAUUGACGGGGACCCGCACAAGCGGUGGAGCAUGUGGUUUAAUUCGAAGCAACGCGAAGAACCUUACCAAAUCUUGACAUCCUCUGACCCCUCUAGAGAUAGAGUUUUCCCCUUCGGGGGACAGAGUGACAGGUGGUGCAUGGUUGUCGUCAGCUCGUGUCGUGAGAUGUUGGGUUAAGUCCCGCAACGAGCGCAACCCUUAAGCUUAGUUGCCAUCAUUAAGUUGGGCACUCUAAGUUGACUGCCGGUGACAAACCGGAGGAAGGUGGGGAUGACGUCAAAUCAUCAUGCCCCUUAUGAUUUGGGCUACACACGUGCUACAAUGGACAAUACAAAGGGUAGCGAAACCGCGAGGUCAAGCAAAUCCCAUAAAGUUGUUCUCAGUUCGGAUUGUAGUCUGCAACUCGACUACAUGAAGCUGGAAUCGCUAGUAAUCGUAGAUCAGCAUGCUACGGUGAAUACGUUCCCGGGUCUUGUACACACCGCCCGUCACACCACGAGAGUUUGUAACACCCGAAGCCGGUGGAGUAACCUUUUGGAGCUAGCCGUCGAAGGUGGGACAAAUGAUUGGGGUGAAGUCGUAACAAGGUAGCCGUAUCGGAAGGUGCGGCUGGAUCACCUCCUUUCUA
RNAcentral lists this ribosomal RNA (1463 nucleotides) under Staphylococcus capitis. RNAcentral's name for it is "bacterial SSU rRNA". It matches the Rfam family "Bacterial small subunit ribosomal RNA". The record is from RNAcentral. Lineage: Bacteria; Bacillati; Bacillota; Bacilli; Caryophanales; Staphylococcaceae.